UACGAAGGGGGCUAGCGUUGCUCGGAAUCACUGGGCGUAAAGGGUGCGUAGGCGGGUUUUUAAGUCAGGGGUGAAAUCCUGGAGCUCAACUCCAGAACUGCCUUUGAUACUGAAGAUCUUGAGUUCGGGAGAGGUGAGUGGAACUGCGAGUGUAGAGGUGAAAUUCGUAGAUAUUCGCAAGAACACCAGUGGCGAAGGCGGCUCACUGGCCCGAUACUGACGCUGAGGCACGAAAGCGAUGGGGAGCAAACUAGGG
This 256-nucleotide ribosomal RNA is filed under the name uncultured bacterium. RNAcentral describes it as "partial 16S ribosomal RNA". It matches the Rfam family "Bacterial small subunit ribosomal RNA", at positions 524 to 778 of the family's 1533-position model. The record is from RNAcentral.